GUAGUUUGCAUUUACUUUUACUUUUUUUAUUCAUUUUUAAUUUCUCUUUCUCUCUCUUAGAAUGACAUGAAAGUAUAUCAGUGUGUUGUUCUCUCCCUUCUUAUCUCUUUCACUCUCUUAAAAAUCAAAUGGAGAGCUCCUAAAAAUUGGUUUACCUAAAGGAAAAUAUAUGAUGGAGCUCAUCUUGGAAUAAUUUUUGUUUCAAUUUUUGAGAUUUCUUCACAGUUCUUCGCAACUCAAGAUAUGAGCCAAGUCUUUUCCAUUUUGCCUUAUCGAUUCGAUCAAGCGAUUUUGGUUCUUCAACUCUACAUUUUCACUUAUAUUUGCUUAAGCUUUCAAAUUCAGUGAUAGGAGUUUCCUUCUUGCUCAAGGUUUGAAGAGUACUGAAAAUUGAUUUGUUUGCAUCUCUGAUAUGGGAGAUGAGCAGCCAGGAGUUGCAAAGAAAAGCAGCUGUAAUUUUGCCGAAAAACCUACAUAAUCUUUGACUAUUGAAGAGAAUAAUCAUGCAUAGAUGAAACUUCCAACAUUGAAGCGUGAAGAUAAUGGUUUUCAUCCUGCUAAGUUAUGUGAACAGAAUGCUUUGGGUAUGAAUAAUAUAAUGAAAGUGGUUCUUUUGAGACAGAUUCUGCGGAAGAUACUAAUGACGAGUUGGCCACAAUCUCAGGUUUCUCCCUUUUCACUCUUGUACAAGCCACCUUACAUGUAGAUGCCGAAACAUAAAUUAGGAGAGAGAAGGUUCAAGUUUUAGUCUGUGAAUAUACUCCAGUGAUCUUUUAAAAAAUAUUUAUAUAUGUAGAAAUAUAACAAUCUUUUUAUUGUUAAAACAAUGAAUUGAUGCAUGUGAUCUUUUUAUAGCCA
This is a long non-coding RNA of Solanum lycopersicum (tomato), 858 nucleotides long. RefSeq lists it as uncharacterized. Lineage: Eukaryota; Viridiplantae; Streptophyta; Magnoliopsida; Solanales; Solanaceae. The record is from RefSeq and is a predicted model, not a curated record.